This 78-nucleotide non-coding RNA is filed under the name Desulfuromonadales bacterium. RNAcentral's name for it is "c-di-GMP sequence". It matches the Rfam family "c-di-GMP-I-GGC riboswitch aptamer". Lineage: Bacteria; Pseudomonadati; Thermodesulfobacteriota; Desulfuromonadia; Desulfuromonadales. The record is from RNAcentral.
GGCGACAAGGGCAAACCCAGGGCGACCUGGGGACGCAAAAUCACGGAUCUGCGCAGGCAGAUGGCCGGAUUACCGAAA